RNAcentral lists this ribosomal RNA (977 nucleotides) under Cortinarius mysoides. RNAcentral's name for it is "partial 28S ribosomal RNA". It matches the Rfam family "Eukaryotic large subunit ribosomal RNA", at positions 1 to 964 of the family's 3401-position model. The record is from RNAcentral. Lineage: Eukaryota; Fungi; Basidiomycota; Agaricomycetes; Agaricales; Cortinariaceae.
GUGACCUCAAAUCAGGUAGGACUACCCGCUGAACUUAAGCAUAUCAAUAAGCGGAGGAAAAGAAACUAACAAGGAUUCCCCUAGUAACUGCGAGUGAAGCGGGAAAAGCUCAAAUUUAAAAUCUGGCAGUCUUUGGCUGUCCGAGUUGUAAUCUAGAGAAGUGUUAUCCGCGCUGGACCGUGUACAAGUCUCCUGGGAUGGAGCGUCGUAGAGGGUGAGAAUCCCGUCUUUGACACGGACUGCCAGGGCUUUGUGAUGCGCUCUCAAAGAGUCGAGUUGUUUGGGAAUGCAGCUCAAAAUGGGUGGUAAAUUCCAUCUAAAGCUAAAUAUUGGCGAGAGACCGAUAGCGAACAAGUACCGUGAGGGAAAGAUGAAAAGAACUUUGGAAAGAGAGUUAAACAGUACGUGAAAUUGCUGAAAGGGAAACGCUUGAAGUCAGUCGCGUUGUCCAGGGAUCAACCUUGCUUUUGCUUGGUGCACUUUCUGGUUGACGGGUCAGCAUCAAUUUUGACUAUUGGAAAAAGAUUAGGGGAAUGUGACAUCUUUGGAUGUGUUAUAGCCCUUGGUUGCAUACAAUGGUUGGGAUUGAGGAACUCAGCACGCCGCAAGGCCGGGUUUUAACCACGUACGUGCUUAGGAUGCUGGCAUAAUGGCUUUAAUCGACCCGUCUUGAAACACGGACCAAGGAGUCUAACAUGCCUGCGAGUGUUUGGGUGGAAAACCCGAGCGCGUAAUGAAAGUGAAAGUUGAGAUCCCUGUCGUGGGGAGCAUCGACGCCCGGACCAGACCUUUUGUGACGGUUCCGCGGUAGAGCAUGUAUGUUGGGACCCGAAAGAUGGUGAACUAUGCCUGAAUAGGGUGAAGCCAGAGGAAACUCUGGUGGAGGCUCGUAGCGAUUCUGACGUGCAAAUCGAUCGUCAAAUUUGGGUAUAGGGGCGAAAGACUAAUCGAACCAUCUAGUAGCUGGUUCCUGCCGA